UAGGACUUGCAGGACAUUAACCUACAUUUCCUGAAUGCAACUCAGGCUCUUUAAAUUAAGAUAAAGCCCU
Molecule: transfer RNA, 70 nt
Filed under: Rana temporaria (common frog)
Lineage: Eukaryota; Metazoa; Chordata; Amphibia; Anura; Ranidae
Description: tRNA-Ala
Source: RNAcentral